This is a long non-coding RNA of Bos taurus (domestic cattle), 837 nucleotides long. The record is from Ensembl. Lineage: Eukaryota; Metazoa; Chordata; Mammalia; Artiodactyla; Bovidae.
AAAUAAACUUGUUAAGCUCACAAGAAUCAUCCUGACCAGGCCCACCUGUGAAUGGUUGCAGGCAAGAAGAAAUUAACACAUCCCUUUCCGGAGUCUGGCUGGAACCAGAACUUUAGCCCCUCCUCUUUCAGUGUAAAAGAAGCCUGAUUCCUAACUCCGGAAACAUGGUUCUUUGGGACACUAGAGCGUCAUCUUCUGGGUCUGCUGGCUUUCCAAAUCAAGUUGCAAUUCCUUGUCCCAACAACUCAUCUCUUGAUUUAUUGGUCCAUUGUGCAGUGACCAGUAUCAGAUCAGACCAGUAUAAGCUUGGACUCAGUAAAAAACUUUAGUAGAGCCAGCCAGGAGACUAACUGCUUGUGGACAGCCAACCCUGGUUAGGGAAUUUUCCAGUAAGGCCCUAGCAGCUGCUGGGACCACUUGUCUUGAGGAUCUGCCCUUCAGAAUUUCCUAAAGCAGCACUGGCUGCCUCAGUACAUGGCAGCUGGAAUAAGGGAUCAGCAUUUGGUAGUCGACGGGCUCAAUGCAAUAGGACCUUAGCAACUGUGAGGAAAACUGAAGCUUGGGCUUGCACAUUGGUGCUUGCCUUCUCUCUUGCUGCUUUUGGAACCCAUCUACCAAACAAAGCCCAGGCUAGCCUUCUGGAGGCUAGCCCGGUCGACAGCCAACACCAACAUGAGGGAAGUCCUCUCAGACCAUCCCAUUUACAGAACGUUGCCACCACAGGAAUGCAGCUGCAUGAAGUGAUCCCCAGGCAAAACCAACAUGGAACCACCCACCUGCGCCCAGCCUAAUUCACUGACCCAUAGAAUCAUGGGUAAUUAAAAUGGUGGAUGCCAU